This is a long non-coding RNA of Oncorhynchus tshawytscha (Chinook salmon), 908 nucleotides long. The record is from Ensembl. NCBI's taxonomy places the organism in Eukaryota, Metazoa, Chordata, Actinopteri, Salmoniformes, Salmonidae.
AAGAUUUAAAAAAAAAAAGGAAUGUUUUAACUAAUGUAUUUAGCGAGACAUUGUUAAUGUGGUGAAACAAAACAGAUUUAAAUUUAGCUUGUGAUCAACACACAAAUUGUAGACUAAUUGUCUGCGCAGGAAUGCCGAUUUCUGCUCACUGCAGAUUUGAUUUAAUUCCAACCGUACGUUUUAAAUCUGACUGACUAUGAUGUCACUGUUCGCAUGAUUUCUUAUCUAAAAACGCUGGUAGGUUAUAGCUUCCUAAAACCCUCUAUAGUGACCGUGGAGUAGAUUCUAGCUUCCUAAAACCCUCUAUAUUGACCAUGGAGUAGAUUCUAGCUUCCUAAAACCCUCUAUAUUGACCAUGGAGUAGGUUAUAGCUUCCUAAAACCCUCUAUAUUGACCAUGGAGUAGAUUCUAGCUUCCUACAACCGCCUAAAAUCACUAGCAUGCGUUAUGUUUUGUUUUGUGUCACAUCUCUUGACUUUCUACCUGCGAUUUUAAACUAAAGGAAAGCAACUCGUCUAACAGAAGAAGCAAGUAUCAUGAAGCCACGAGCACAGAAGAUAAUGCAGUCGCAUGGCACAAAGGAGUAUUGUGUUGGCAUCCAGUGGCUGCGUCAAAACUGGAAUAUUUAAUAAUCAAUCCUCUAUUUGAAAUACAUUUUUAGAACUGAACUGAAUACAUAAAAAAUAAAGAAUAAAGUAGACUUGACUAAAUGCCGUUGCCACGAACAGUAGCGGAGAUAUUGAGAUGAGCAAGUAUUGCUCUCACACAGUAUCUGCACCAAGUGUACUGGUUUUGAUUUUUCACGGGACCAAAACAGAGGAGAAGUUGAGCCUCGCGCUUCAACACUCUUAGUUGUAGUGGAAAUUGGCCCACGAUGCUGUCUACCUUUUAAUUAUUGACCAUUCCCC